UUCUGUGAAUUGCGUUGUUGAAGAUUGGAAUGGAAGAGUGAGGUUCAGGUUGAGCUUUGAUGAGAAAAAAAUGGAUGAAAAUCCCCCAAAAUCCGAGUUUCUGAAUUGCAGUGUGAACUUAUAGUAUUAAAAAAUGUGAACUGGUUCUGCAGAAGGGUGUUUUCGGUUUUCCUGCAUUUUGCGUUCUGCUGCAAUGCGUUUCAAUGCGUUUCAAUUAUGCUGUGCUUGGAUUCAUUUUUUGUUUUAUUUGAAUGUGGAUAUGGCUUAUUAGAUGAAUGAAUAUUGGAAUGGUGUAUAGGCAUGUGGUUUUGUAUGUGGACAUUUGGAUAUGUAAUGGUUUUGAGUGGAUAUGGUAAUGGUAUCUGGAUAAUUGGAUUUUGGUUUUGCUAAGUGGAUUUGGAUGAAUAAAUUGAUAUUGAUGAAUAAAUGGAUAUUGGAUGGAUAA
Long non-coding RNA from Lathyrus oleraceus (garden pea), 445 nucleotides. RefSeq lists it as uncharacterized. The transcript is spliced from 2 exons. Lineage: Eukaryota; Viridiplantae; Streptophyta; Magnoliopsida; Fabales; Fabaceae. The record is from RefSeq and is a predicted model, not a curated record.